AUUGAACGCUGGCGGCAGGCUUAACACAUGCAAGUCGAGCGGUAGCACAGGGGAGCUUGCUCCCUGGGUGGCGAGCGGCGGACGGGUGAGUCAUGUCUGGGAAACUGCCUGAUGGAGGGGGAUAACUACUGGAAACGGUAGCUAAUACCGCAUAACGUCGCAAGACCAAAGAGGGGGACCUUCGGGCCUCUUGCCAUCAGAUGUGCCCAGAUGGGAUUAGCUAGUAGGUGGGGGAAUGGCUCACCUAGGCGACGAUCCCUAGCUGGUCUGAGAGGAUGACCGGCCACACUGGAACUGAGACACGGUCCAGACUCCUACGGGAGGCAGCAGUGGGGAAUAUUGCACAAUGGGCGCAAGCCUGAUGCAGCCAUGCCGCGUGUGUGAAGAAGGCCUUCGGGUUGUAAAGCACUUUCAGCGAGGAGGAAGGUGGUGAGCUUAAUACGUUCAUCAAUUGACGUUACUCGCAGAAGAAGCACCGGCUAACUCCGUG
Molecule: ribosomal RNA, 490 nt
Filed under: uncultured bacterium
Lineage: Bacteria
Description: partial 16S ribosomal RNA
Rfam family: Bacterial small subunit ribosomal RNA
Source: RNAcentral